CCUACGGGUGGCAGCAGUGAGGGAUAUUGGUCAAUGGCCGUAAGGCUGAACCAGUCAAGUAGCGUGAGGGAAGACUGCCCUAUGGGUUGUAAACCUCUUUUAUGCGGGGGUAAAGGUGUCCACGUGUGGAUGUUUGCAGGUACCGCAUGAAUAAGGACCGGCUAAUUCCGUGCCAGCAGCCGGGGUAAUACGGAAGGACCGGGCGUUAUCCGGAUAUAUUGGGGUGAAAGGGAGCGUAGGCCGGUCUUUAAGCGUGCCGUGAAAUUUUGUGGCCCAACCAUGGGAGUGUGUCGCGAACUGGAUACCUUGAGUGCGCGGAAGGCAGGCGGAAUUCGUGGUGUAGCGGUGAAAUGCUUAGAUAUCACGAAGAACCCCGAUUGCGAAGGCAGCCUGCCGCAGCGUUACUGACGCUGAAGCUCGAAAGCGCGGGUAUCGAACAGGAUUAGAUACCCGGGUAGUC
RNAcentral lists this ribosomal RNA (460 nucleotides) under uncultured bacterium. RNAcentral describes it as "partial 16S ribosomal RNA". It matches the Rfam family "Bacterial small subunit ribosomal RNA", at positions 338 to 795 of the family's 1533-position model. The record is from RNAcentral.